This 108-nucleotide small nucleolar RNA is filed under the name Grosmannia clavigera kw1407. RNAcentral describes it as "A. fumigatus snoRNA Afu_304". It matches the Rfam family "A. fumigatus snoRNA Afu_304". Lineage: Eukaryota; Fungi; Ascomycota; Sordariomycetes; Ophiostomatales; Ophiostomataceae. The record is from Rfam by way of RNAcentral.
CUACGUGAUGAUAAAAGGCCAUAGUGCCUGAUCUCUUAAACCCAGCUCGUCGAGUGCUAUCCAUGAUUUUCGUGGAGAGCACUAUGAGAUAAGAACAUAUCUGAUUUU